Caenorhabditis elegans is the source of this 21-nucleotide non-coding RNA. Lineage: Eukaryota; Metazoa; Nematoda; Chromadorea; Rhabditida; Rhabditidae. The record is from Ensembl.
UGGGCGAUGUGUGAUCAAUUC